Molecule: ribosomal RNA, 421 nt
Filed under: uncultured bacterium
Lineage: Bacteria
Description: partial 16S ribosomal RNA
Rfam family: Bacterial small subunit ribosomal RNA
Source: RNAcentral
AAUUUUGGACAAUGGGGGCAACCCUGAUCCAGCCAUCCCGCGUGUGCGAUGAAGGCCUUCGGGUUGUACAGCACUUUUGGCAGGGACGAAAAGGCUCUGGCUAAUACCUGGAGCUGCUGACGGUACCUGCAGCAUAAGCACCGGCUAACUACGUGCCAGCAGCCGCGGUAAUACGUAGGGUGCAAGCGUUAAUCGGAAUUACUGGGCGUAAAGCGUGCGCAGGCAGUUCGGCAAGAAGGAUGUGAAAUCCCAGGGCUUAACCUUGGAACUGCAUUCUUAACUGCCGGGCUAGAGUAUGUCAGAGGGGGGUAGAAUUCCGCGUGUAGCAGUGAAAUGCGUAGAGAUGCGGAGGAAUACCGAUGGCGAAGGCAGCCCCCUGGGAUAAUACUGACGCUGAGGCACGAAGGCUAGGGGAGCAAAC